This 277-nucleotide ribosomal RNA is filed under the name uncultured prokaryote. Its description in RNAcentral is "partial 16S ribosomal RNA". It matches the Rfam family "Bacterial small subunit ribosomal RNA", at positions 524 to 801 of the family's 1533-position model. The record is from RNAcentral.
UACGUAGGGGGCGAGCGUUGUCCGGAUUUACUGGGCGUAAAGGGUGAGUAGGCGGUUGUAUAUGUCAGGUGUAAAAGGCUAUGGCUUAACCAUGGUUAGCACUUGAAACUGUACAACUUGAGUACAGGAGAGGUAAGUGGAAUUCCUAGUGUAGCGGUGAAAUGCGUAGAUAUUAGGAGGAACACCAGUGGCGAAGGCGACUUACUGGACUGUAACUGACGCUGAGUCACGAAAGCGUGGGUAGCAAACAGGAUUAGAUACCCCCGUAGUCCCUGAG